GAUGAAGAACGCAGCGAAAUGCGAUAAGUAAUGUGAAUUGCAGAAUUCAGUGAAUCAUCGAAUCUUUGAACGCACAUUGUGCCCGCCAGUAUUCUGGCGGGCAUGCCUGUUCGAGCGUCAUUUCAACCAUCAAGCCCCCGGCUUGUGUUGGGGACCUGCGGCUGCCGCAGGCCCUGAAAAGCAGUGGCGGGCUCGCUGUCACACCGAGCGUAGUAGCAUACAUCUCGCUCUGGGCGUGCUGCGGGUUCCGGCCGUUAAACCACCUUCAUAACCCAAGGUUGACCUCGGAUCAGGUAGGAAGACCCGCUGAACUUAAGCAUAUCAAUAAGCGGAGGA
This 336-nucleotide unclassified non-coding RNA is filed under the name soil metagenome. RNAcentral's name for it is "partial contains 5.8S ribosomal RNA, internal transcribed spacer 2, and large subunit ribosomal RNA". The stretch from base 1 to 120 matches the Rfam family "5.8S ribosomal RNA", at positions 35 to 154 of the family's 154-position model. The record is from RNAcentral.